RNAcentral lists this ribosomal RNA (590 nucleotides) under uncultured euryarchaeote. RNAcentral describes it as "bacterial SSU rRNA". It matches the Rfam family "Archaeal small subunit ribosomal RNA", at positions 851 to 1441 of the family's 1478-position model. Lineage: Archaea; Methanobacteriati; Methanobacteriota. The record is from RNAcentral.
GAAACUUAAAGGAAUUGGCGGGGGAGCACCACAACGGGUGGAGCCUGCGGUUCAAUUGGACUCAACGCCGAAAAGCUCACCGGGAGCGACAGCAGAACGAAGGCCAGGCUGAAGACCUUGCCAGACUAGCUGAGAGGUGGUGCAUGGCCGUCGUCAGUUCGUACUGUGAAGCAUCCUGUUAAGUCAGGCAACGAGCGAGACCCGCGCCCAUAGUUGCCUGCAAUCCCUCCGGGGAGAUGGGUACACUAUGGGGACCGCCUCUGCUAAAGAGGAGGAAGGAACGGGCAACGGUAGGUCAGCAUGCCCCGAAUCUCCCGGGCUACACGCGGGCUACAAUGGUCGGGACAAUGGGUAUCGACACCGAAAGGUGAAGGCAAUCUCCUAAACCCGAUCUUAGUUCGGAUUGGGGGCUGAAACUCGCCCCCAUGAAGAUGGAAUCCGUAGUAAUCGCGUCUCAAAAUGGCGCGGUGAAUAGGUCCCUGCUCCUUGCACACACCGCCCGUCAAACCACCCGAGUGAGGUCUGGGUGAGGCUGCCUCUCAUUGGGGCAUUCGAACUUGGGUUUCGCAAGGGGGGUUAAGUCGUAACAA